RNAcentral lists this ribosomal RNA (496 nucleotides) under uncultured bacterium. RNAcentral describes it as "partial 16S ribosomal RNA". It matches the Rfam family "Bacterial small subunit ribosomal RNA", at positions 29 to 507 of the family's 1533-position model. The record is from RNAcentral.
AUGAACGCUGGCGGCGUGCCUAAUACCUGCCAGUCGCGCGAACAGACGAGGAGCUUGCUCCUCUGACGUUAGCGGCGGACGGGUGAGUAACACGUGGAUAACCUACCUAUAAGACUGGGAUAACUUCGGGAAACCGGAGCUAAUACCGGAUAAUAUAUUGAACCGCAUGGUUCAAUAGUGAAAGACGGUUUUGCUGUCACUUAUAGAUGGAUCCGCGCCGCAUUAGCUAGUUGGUAAGGUAACGGCUUACCAAGGCGACGAUGCGUAGCCGACCUGAGAGGGUGAUCGGCCACACUGGAACUGAGACACGGACCAGACUCCUACGGGAGGCAGCAGUAGGGAAUCUUCCGCAAUGGGCGAAAGCCUGACGGAGCAACGCCGCGUGAGUGAUGAAGGUCUUCGGAUCGUAAAACUCUGUUAUUAGGGAAGAACAAAUGUGUAAGUAACUAUGCACGUCUUGACGGUACCUAAUCAGAAAGCCACGGCUAACUACGUG